GCAAUUCAGAGGUCAUGAGUUCGAUUCAUGGGGCUCUUGGAAGGCAAGGCUUUCUCCUAGAAGGCAAGAUAAUUUCUGGAAGGCAGGAGUUCCUUGGAAGGCAAGACGCAUACAUGAGUUUGACUCGCUCGGCACUUUGGCAGUUAAGUUGGGGGGGCUCUUGGACCCUGACCAGUUUGGGGCAUAACCCGCGAUUUACCUGAUCUGCGUGAAAAGGGGCUGGAUCGUAGACCUCAGGAUUAGUCACUGUAAGGUGGACACCUGGGUAUAAAAAAAAAAAAAAUAGUUCAUUC
Molecule: long non-coding RNA, 293 nt
Filed under: Olea europaea subsp. europaea
Lineage: Eukaryota; Viridiplantae; Streptophyta; Magnoliopsida; Lamiales; Oleaceae
Source: RNAcentral